GAGUUUGAUCGUGGCUCAGGACGAACGCUGGCGGCGUGCCUAACACAUGCAAGUCGAACGGAGCCAAUCGAAAGAUUCUUUCGGGAUGAUUUUGAGGAAGCUUAGUGGCGGACGGGCGAGUAACGCGUGAAUAACCUGCCCAUAAGAGGGGGAUAAUCCAUGGAAACGUGGACUAAUACCGCAUAUUGAGCAUAAACCGCAUGGUUGAUGGUUAGAAAGUAUUUUAUCGCUUAUGGAUGGAUUCGCGUCAGAUUAGCUGGUUGGUAGGGUAACGGCCUACCAAGGCGACGAUCUGUAGCCGAACUGAGAGGUUGAUCGGCCGCA
RNAcentral lists this ribosomal RNA (324 nucleotides) under uncultured bacterium. RNAcentral's name for it is "bacterial SSU rRNA". It matches the Rfam family "Bacterial small subunit ribosomal RNA", at positions 9 to 312 of the family's 1533-position model. The record is from RNAcentral.